ACAAGGUCGACCAUCUCAUACCCAUUUUCCAGCGUCGCGGUCCUACCAGUCGCUCGCUUGUGCUUGCAUGGUUCCUGACUGAGUCCUCCGGUACCCCCUCUUUCCCUCUGCUAAAGAGGAGCGAUGAGGAAGCGAACAAGGCAGUGGAAGGUUUUUACCUGAGGCUUUGUUUACCUUGCUGAGUUCCGACUUCAUUCCAGAGUUUCUCUGAGCAUCUGGAUUAUCAACUACUGAGUUAAGGAUCUAACUUCCUGUGGAUUUCUCUCACUACCGUCUGUACCUUCGGACACGGACCAAGUUGGCGGCUUCCCGUUUCCUCCAACUCCAGCAUACCCUGUCCCUUCCUCCAUCUCAAACAUCGGCACCUGAGCUCCAUUUGGCUGGCACCAAGAUCACAACAAAAAAGACAACUGAACGAUCUUCCUUCGCAAGUUAAGACUCUGAAUCUCUCUACCCCUGGUGGUUCAAGCUACAACAAUUUAUUGGUGUUUCCAGUCCUCAUCCCAGAUUACUUUGCUGACAAUAAAAUCC
Girardinichthys multiradiatus is the source of this 531-nucleotide long non-coding RNA. RefSeq lists it as uncharacterized. The record is from RefSeq and is a predicted model, not a curated record. The transcript is spliced from 3 exons. NCBI's taxonomy places the organism in Eukaryota, Metazoa, Chordata, Actinopteri, Cyprinodontiformes, Goodeidae.